UAGCCAAAUAAGGGCCAAAUUGCUUUCCGACUUAAAUUUAAAGGCAUAUUGGUUGACCGUGUAGUGUUAAUGUGCUACAUGAAGUCAGAAUUCAAUGCCAGGGACUCCGUGAUCCAGUAACGCAUCGAUAGCUUGUGCGUAAAGCAUGAACAUUCAAACAGAGCCCCAUUUCACCGACAUAGAAUGGCAGACAUUUUUACAGUAUGGACAGUGCAGCAGAUGCUUAACUGAGCCAGUUUUCAUAUUUAGUACAAUCAUGAAUAUAACAAGCUAUAUCACUUCAUAUUAUUCAUAGAAAUACACUUAAAAUACAUAAAUGAAUGUUUGUUUUUCAUUUUAUAUCUAUUUCUUUUGGGUAUUUUGACUUUUUCAGGUAGAGGAAUGUCUGCGACUAAGCCGAGGGCCACUGGAUAAGGGAUGUUGAUGGCAAAACAGGUAGAGGAAUGUCUGCGACUAAGCCGAAGGCCACUGGAUAAGGGAUGUUGAUGGCAAAACAGGUAGAGGAAUGUCUGCGACUAAGCCGAAGGCCACUGGAUAAGGGAUGUUGAUGGCAAAACAGGUAAUAAUACUAAAUUACUAUCAUGUACACAAGCAAAUAAGCAUAUUCAUGAUGCUUAAGGUGUGAAAUAAUGUCAUAAUCAGGUUUGUGGUCACUGAAACCCUUGCCGUCGUGCAAUUCCCUGUGCAAUUUGUAUCGAUAGUUCCGCGUCCUGACACGUAAAGCUCGUGCUUUGUUGGCAGAUGAAGUUGGCACUGAACAGGUUUAGCCUUGUUCCUGAGCAUUCAUGCAGUACAGCUGAGUUGAUUUGCUACUUGUAACCCUACAAUUAGCUUGUGUUUGGUAUUGUUUUCUCACAAUAUGCUUACAGUCAUAGUUCCGGCUUGAAAGGAUGUCGCGUCCGACUUAAACAUAGAAUUGUUGUAGCAAGUGUCCCCUUCAUAAUUUACCUUAUAGGGAUCUUUUUGCCAAAAUGUGUCACUUUCAGCAACCAGUUGUUGUUUUUUCGGUACAUGCUUGUCUCAUUCAGUGAUUUAAGGGAAGUAUUGACCUUAUUCACUUGUCUUUGCAUACAAAGGUGACAUGGAUCAAUGAUAUUUGUUGUGUUGAGAAUUCUGCGGGAAGCUGUGUCCCCAGAAGAAGUACUAGAAACUGCUUUCAGGAAGCCUGCAUUGCUCUUAGCUGCCUUUCUGCCCCUGAUACUACAUGAAACCUCAAUUCUAAGCUUAUAAUGCUUUUCUACAUAUAUGCAUCUUGUUCAUUUUAACCUUGCCUUCCAGUCUAACCCCCAAAAGGAGCAUUUUUUUUCAUUCGCUCGGUUAGGAACACCCAUUUUGAUCAGAUUGCCACCAUAAAAAUAGUCAAAAGUACUUAUUUUGUGCCCAAAAUAUGAAAUUUUGUAUUCUCUUGAACCUCUAGAUGAGAGCUGGCUGUGCAUAUUGACCUUCUGCUGCAGUUUAAAGGCACCCAUUGCAUUAUAUGCUAGAAUAUAUCAUUGGUGUCGUUUAAAUAAAUGGGCUCCGAGCGACAAGGCGCUUUCAAGAUUUCACACUUUUAUUGGUGCGAAACAACAAGUUAUUGGAAACUUAUUGAUUUCUACACUUUAAAGUAUCUUUGAUCUCUCAUUUUUACUAAUUUGUUUAUUGUCUUGGAUGAAAUUGGAUAUUUUUGGCUUUGAAAUUGACAUUUUUGGGGUGAUUAAAAAAACACACACACAAAAAGACGUUAUCAAAAUUGCUUAGAGUGAAACUAUCUAGCAAAUUCAUUCUUUCCCCACCCCGCAUAAGCCCCAUGUGCCUGUCCAUUUGGUUUGUUUUGGUAUUUUGUUGCAGAUAUUGAACACAAGAGCUUUAAAUCUUAAAGGGACAUUUAGGCUUUAACAGGCCUAAAAUCGCCUUCUUCGGACC
Dreissena polymorpha is the source of this 1905-nucleotide long non-coding RNA. RefSeq lists it as uncharacterized. The transcript is spliced from 3 exons. The record is from RefSeq and is a predicted model, not a curated record. NCBI's taxonomy places the organism in Eukaryota, Metazoa, Mollusca, Bivalvia, Myida, Dreissenidae.